UUUGAAAGAUUUCUUCGGAAUGAAUUUGAUUUAGUUUAGUGGCGGACGGGUGAGUAACGCGUGAGUAACCUGCCUUCAAGAGGGGGAUAACAUUCUGAAAAGAAUGCUAAUACCGCAUGACAUAUCGGAACCACAUGGUUUUGAUAUCAAAGAUUUUAUCGCUUGAAGAUGGACUCGCGUCCGAUUAGUUAGUUGGUGAGGUAACGGCUCACCAAGACCGCGAUCGGUAGCCGGACUGAGAGGUUGAACGGCCACAUUGGGACUGAGACACGGCCCAGACUCCUACGGGAGGCAGCAGUGGGGGAUAUUGCGCAAUGGGGGCAACCCUGACGCAGCAACGCCGCGUGAAGGAUGAAGGUUUUCGGAUUGUAAACUUCUUUUAUUAAGGACGAAACUUGACGGUACUUAAUGAAUAAGCUCCGGCUAACUACGUGCCAGCAGCCGCGGUAAUACGUAGGGAGCAAGCGUUGUCCGGAUUUACUGGGUGUAAAGGGUGCGUAGGCGGCUUUGCAAGUCAGAUGUGAAAUCUAUGGGCUCAACCCAUAAACUGCAUUUGAAACUGUAGAGCUUGAGUGAAGUAGAGGCAGGCGGAAUUCCCCGUGUAGCGGUGAAAUGCGUAGAGAUGGGGAGGAACACCAGUGGCGAAGGCGGCCUGCUGGGCG
RNAcentral lists this ribosomal RNA (662 nucleotides) under uncultured bacterium. RNAcentral's name for it is "bacterial SSU rRNA". It matches the Rfam family "Bacterial small subunit ribosomal RNA", at positions 65 to 735 of the family's 1533-position model. The record is from RNAcentral.